This 468-nucleotide ribosomal RNA is filed under the name uncultured bacterium. RNAcentral describes it as "partial 16S ribosomal RNA". It matches the Rfam family "Bacterial small subunit ribosomal RNA", at positions 28 to 507 of the family's 1533-position model. The record is from RNAcentral.
GACGAACGCUGGCGGCGUGCUUAACACAUGCAAGUCGAACGGAAAGGCCCUGCUUUUGUGGGGUGCUCGAGUGGCGAACGGGUGAGUAACACGUGAGUAACCUGCCCUUGACUUUGGGAUAACUUCAGGAAACUGGGGCUAAUACCGGAUAGGAGCUCCUGCUGCAUGGUGGGGGUUGGAAAGUUUCGGCGGUUGGGGAUGGACUCGCGGCUUAUCAGCUUGUUGGUGGGGUAGUGGCUUACCAAGGCUUUGACGGGUAGCCGGCCUGAGAGGGUGACCGGCCACAUUGGGACUGAGAUACGGCCCAGACUCCUACGGGAGGCAGCAGUGGGGAAUAUUGCACAAUGGGCGCAAGCCUGAUGCAGCAACGCCGCGUGCGGGAUGACGGCCUUCGGGUUGUAAACCGCUUUCGCCGGUGACGAAGCGUGAGUGACGGUAAUGGGUAAAGAAGCACCGGCUAACUACGUG